This 1240-nucleotide ribosomal RNA is filed under the name metagenome. RNAcentral's name for it is "bacterial LSU rRNA". It matches the Rfam family "Bacterial large subunit ribosomal RNA", at positions 1564 to 2815 of the family's 2925-position model. The record is from RNAcentral.
UGAAUACGAGACGCUACGGCGUCGAAGCAGUCUAUGUCAUACUUCCAAGAAAAGCUUGCACUGUCAUAAACAAAUAAUGCCUGUACCAUAACCGACACAGGUGGGUAGGUAGAGUAUACUAAGGGGCGCGAGAUAACUCUCUCUAAGGAACUCGGCAAAAUGACUCCGUAACUUCGGGAGAAGGAGUGCCUUAUUUAUAAGGUUGCAAUAACAAGAUCCAAGCAACUGUUUACCAAAAACACAGGUCUCCGCUAAGUCGUAAGACGAUGUAUGGGGGCUGACGCCUGCCCAGUGCCAGAAGGUUAAAGAAGUCGGUUAGCAUUAGCGAAGCUGGUAACUGAAGCCCUGGUGAACGGCGGCCGUAACAAUAACGGUCCUAAGGUAGCGAAAUUCCUUGUCGGGUAAGUUCCGACCCGCACGAAAGGCGUAAUGAUUUGGAUACUGUCUCAGAGAGGGACUCGGUGAAAUAGACUUGUCUGUGAAGAUGCGGACUACCUGCACCAGGACAGAAAGACCCUAUGAAGCUUUACUGUAACUUGAAAUUGAAAUUGGACUUUAUUUGCGCAGUAUAGGUGGGAGGUUUGAGAAUAUCCUUGCGGGAAUGUUGGAGCCAUCAGUGAGAUACCACUCUUGUAAUGUUAGAUUUCUAACUUUGUAUCAUUAUCUGGUCAAAGGACAGUUUCAGGCGGGCAGUUUGACUGGGGCGGUCGCCUCCUAAACGGUAACGGAGGCGCACAAAGGUUUCCUCUGAACGGGUAGAAAUCGUAUCUAGAGUGUAAAGGCAUAAGGAAGCUUGACUGUGAGACCUACAAGUCGAGCAGGGACGAAAGUCGGUCUUAGUGAUCUGACGGUGCUGAGUGGAAAGGCCGUCACUCAACGGAUAAAAGUUACUCUAGGAUAACAGGCUGAUCUCCCCCAAGAGUUCACAUCGACGGGGAGGUUUGGCACCUCGAUGUCGGCUCAUCGCAUCCUGGGGCGGUAGUACGUCCCAAGGGUUGGGCUGUUCGCCCAUGAAAGCGGUACGCGAGCUGGGUUCAGAACGUCGUGAGACAGUUCGGUCCAUAUCCGGUGUAGGCGUUAGAAUAUUGAGAGGAGCCUUCUUUAGUACGAGAGGACCGAGAAGGACAUACCUCUGGUGUACCAGUUAUCGUGCCAACGGUAAACGCUGGGUAGCUAUGUAUGGAGAGGAUAACCGCUGAAAGCAUCUAAGUGGGAAGCCCACCUCAAGAUAAGUAUUCAC